CCGUCGAUAGCUCAGUUGGUAGAGCGGAGGACUGUAGUUAUCCUUAGGUCGCUGGUUCGAAUCCGGCUCGACGGA
This 75-nucleotide transfer RNA is filed under the name Caenorhabditis remanei. RNAcentral's name for it is "tRNA-Tyr". It matches the Rfam family "tRNA". Rfam says of the family: Transfer RNA (tRNA) molecules are approximately 80 nucleotides in length. Their secondary structure includes four short double-helical elements and three loops (D, anti-codon, and T loops). Further hydrogen bonds mediate the characteristic L-shaped molecular structure. tRNAs have two regions of fundamental functional importance: the anti-codon, which is responsible for specific mRNA codon recognition, and the 3' end, to which the tRNAs corresponding amino acid is attached (by aminoacyl-tRNA synthetases). tRNAs cope with the degeneracy of the genetic code in two manners: having more than one tRNA (with a specific anti-codon) for a particular amino acid; and 'wobble' base-pairing, i.e. permitting non-standard base-pairing at the 3rd anti-codon position. The record is from RNAcentral. RNAcentral also lists the same sequence under 1 other name. Lineage: Eukaryota; Metazoa; Nematoda; Chromadorea; Rhabditida; Rhabditidae.